UACAGAGGGUGCGAGCGUUGUUCGGAAUUAUUGGGCGUAAAGAGCUCGUAGGCGGUCUGUCGCGUCUGCUGUGAAAUCCCGAGGCUCAACCUCGGGCUUGCAGUGGGUACGGGCAGACUAGAGUGCGGUAGGGGAGAUUGGAAUUCCUGGUGUAGCGGUGGAAUGCGCAGAUAUCAGGAGGAACACCGAUGGCGAAGGCAGAUCUCUGGGCCGUAACUGACGCUGAGGAGCGAAAGCGUGGGGAGCGAACAGG
RNAcentral lists this ribosomal RNA (253 nucleotides) under uncultured bacterium. RNAcentral describes it as "partial 16S ribosomal RNA". It matches the Rfam family "Bacterial small subunit ribosomal RNA", at positions 524 to 776 of the family's 1533-position model. The record is from RNAcentral.